Molecule: ribosomal RNA, 253 nt
Filed under: uncultured bacterium
Lineage: Bacteria
Description: partial 16S ribosomal RNA
Rfam family: Bacterial small subunit ribosomal RNA
Source: RNAcentral
CACGUAGGGCGCAAGCGUUGUCCGGAAUUAUUGGGCGUAAAGAGCUCGUAGGCGGUCUGUUGCGUCCGCUGUGAAAACUCGGGGCUUAACCCCGAGCCUGCAGUGGAUACGGGCAGACUAGAGGUAGGUAGGGGAGAAUGGAAUUCCCGGUGUAGCGGUGAAAUGCGCAGAUAUCGGGAGGAACACCGGUGGCGAAGGCGGUUCUCUGGGCCUUAACUGACGCUGAGGAGCGAAAGCGUGGGGAGCAAACAGG